RNAcentral lists this ribosomal RNA (457 nucleotides) under uncultured bacterium. RNAcentral's name for it is "SSU rRNA". It matches the Rfam family "Bacterial small subunit ribosomal RNA", at positions 26 to 518 of the family's 1533-position model. The record is from RNAcentral.
AGAAUCAACGCUGGCGGCGUGCCUAACACAUGCAAGUCGAACGAGAAAGUGGAGCAAUCCAUGAGUAAAGUGGCGACCGGGUGAGUAACACGUGACUAACCUACCUUCGAGUGGGGGAUAACCUCGGGAAACCGAGGCUAAUACCGCAUAACAUCGCAAGAUCAAAGCAGCAAUGCGCUGGAAGAGGGGGUCGCGGCUGAUUAGCUAGUUGGCGGGUAACGCCCACAAGGCGAAGAUCGGUAGCCGGCCUGAGAGGGCGCACGGCCACACUGGAACUGAAACACGGUCCAGACUCCUACGGGAGGCAGCAGUGGGGAAUUUUGCGCAAUGGGGGAAACCCUGACGCAGCAACGCCGCGUGGAGGAUGAAGCCCCUUGGGGCGUAAACUCCUUUCGACCAAGACGAUAAUGACGGUACUGGUGGAAGAAGCACCGGCUAACUCUGCGCCAGCAGCCGC